GACGAACGCUGGCGGCGUGCCUAAUACAUGCAAGUAGAACGCUGAAGGAGGAGCUUGCUUCUCUGGAUGAGUUGCGAACGGGUGAGUAACGCGUAGGUAACCUGCCUGGUAGCGGGGGAUAACUAUUGGAAACGAUAGCUAAUACCGCAUAAUAGUAGAUGUUGCAUGACAUUUACUUAAAAGGUGCAAUUGCAUCACUACCAGAUGGACCUGCGUUGUAUUAGCUAGUUGGUGGGGUAACGGCUCACCAAGGCGACGAUACAUAGCCGACCUGAGAGGGGGAUCGGCCACCCUGGGACUGAGACACGGCCCAGACUCCUACGGGAGGCAGCAGUAGGGAAUCUUCGGCAAUGGACGAAAGUCUGACCGAGCAACGCCGCGUGAGUGAAGAAGGUUUUCGGAUCGUAAAGCUCUGUUGUAAGAGAAGAACGAGUGUGAGAGUGGAAAGUUCACACUGUGACGGUAUCUUACCAGAAAGGGACGGCUAACUACGUG
RNAcentral lists this ribosomal RNA (495 nucleotides) under uncultured bacterium. RNAcentral's name for it is "partial 16S ribosomal RNA". It matches the Rfam family "Bacterial small subunit ribosomal RNA", at positions 28 to 507 of the family's 1533-position model. The record is from RNAcentral.